CGAGCCAGAAACCAGCUGAAGCGUAUUGCGAAAAUGAAUUGGAAUGCUAUUGAUGCUGAAGAGUUUGAGAAGAGUUGGCUGCUACUUGCUGAUAUUUACAUUCAAUCAGCAAAAUAUGACAUGGCAGAAGAACUGUUAAAACGGUGCCUGCGUCAUAAUAGAUCUUGCUGCAAAGCUUAUGAAUAUAUGGGAUACAUUAUGGAAAAAGAGCAAGCAUAUACAGAUGCUGCCUUGAACUAUGAGAUGGCAUGGAAAUAUAGCAAUCGGACCAAUCCGGCAGUAGAUCAUGACCCUUUAAAUUGCAAUCUUCAGUCCUGUGUCCUAGGGCCUCUCUUCAAGCCAACUGCAGUUACUUGUCCAUUCUUCCUAAGAUUGGAUUCCGAGUCUCUCAUCUUCCUUGUUGCUGUCUCCUGGAAGCUCUAAAAUAGUGUUUCCCAAACUGUGCUUUGGAACAGUUGGAGAGAUUUUAAUAAUUAUUAUUUUUUUUAAUUAAAAAGAAUGGAGUGUGAAGGUGGUAGAUGCCGUGGCCAUGUAAGUUUGGAAAGUGCUGUUUUAUUUUUCCAUGCCCCCUGACCUGUUGUACCAUAAAUGAACAACCUCUCAAAUAUGAUUUGGCU
RNAcentral lists this small RNA (617 nucleotides) under Pongo abelii (Sumatran orangutan). Its description in RNAcentral is "processed transcript". The record is from RNAcentral. Lineage: Eukaryota; Metazoa; Chordata; Mammalia; Primates; Hominidae.